AAAAAUACCCUCUUCUGAUAAAAAAAUUAAAUUAAUCAUUGCUUUCAACAACGGAUCUCUUGGUUCUGGCAUCGAUGAAGAACGCAGCGAAAUGCGAUAAGUAAUGUGAAUUGCAGAAUUCAGUGAAUCAUCGAAUCUUUGAACGCACAUUGCGCCCGCCAGUAUUCUGGCGGGCAUGCCUGUUCGAGCGUCAUUUCAACCCUCAAGCCCCCGGGCUUGGUGUUGGGGAUCGGCGAGCCUCUGCGCCCGCCGUCCCCUAAAUUUAGUGGCGGUCACGUUGUAACUUCCUCUGCGUAGUAGCACACUUAGCACUGGGAAACAGCGCGGCCACGCCGUAAAACCCCCAACUUUAGAAUGUUUGACCUCGAAUCAGGUAGGACUACCCGCUGAACUUAAGCAUAUCAAUAAGCGGA
Molecule: ribosomal RNA, 413 nt
Filed under: Neonectria sp. nc_besc_196d
Lineage: Eukaryota; Fungi; Ascomycota; Sordariomycetes; Hypocreales; Nectriaceae
Description: eukaryotic LSU rRNA
Rfam family: 5.8S ribosomal RNA (bases 40-193)
Source: RNAcentral